This 259-nucleotide ribosomal RNA is filed under the name uncultured bacterium. RNAcentral's name for it is "partial small subunit ribosomal RNA". It matches the Rfam family "Bacterial small subunit ribosomal RNA", at positions 26 to 290 of the family's 1533-position model. The record is from RNAcentral.
AGGACGAACGCUGGCGGCGUGCUUAACACAUGCAAGUCGAGCGGAAAGGCCCUUCGGGGUACUCGAGCGGCGAACGGGUGAGUAACACGUGAGUAACCUGCCCUUCACUUUGGGAUAACCCUCGGAAACGGGGGCUAAUACCGGAAUACGACAUACCUUCGCAUGGGGUGUGUGGAAAGUUUUUCGGUGGGGGAUGGGCUCGCGGCCUAUCAGCUUGUUGGUCGGGUGAUGGCCUACCAAGGCGACGACGGGUAGCCGG